Molecule: ribosomal RNA, 274 nt
Filed under: uncultured bacterium
Lineage: Bacteria
Description: partial 16S ribosomal RNA
Rfam family: Bacterial small subunit ribosomal RNA
Source: RNAcentral
AUACAGAGGGUGCGAGCGUUAAUCGGAAUUACUGGGCGUAAAGCGCGCGUAGGUGGUUAUGUAAGUCGGAUGUGAAAGCCCCGGGCUCAACCUGGGAAUUGCAUUCGAAACUGCAUGGCUAGAGUCUGAUAGAGGGAAGUGGAAUUUCCGGUGUAGCGGUGAAAUGCGUAGAUAUCGGAAGGAACAUCAGUGGCGAAGGCGACUUCCUGGAUCAAGACUGACGCUAAGGUGCGAAAGCGUGGGGAGCAAACAGGAUUAGAUACCCCGGUAGUCC